RNAcentral lists this unclassified non-coding RNA (225 nucleotides) under Hevea brasiliensis (rubber tree). Lineage: Eukaryota; Viridiplantae; Streptophyta; Magnoliopsida; Malpighiales; Euphorbiaceae. The record is from RNAcentral.
GAAAAAUGCAGUGAUAAUGAUGGCAUUGUUCACAUUGCAGUAGACAAAAAUUCACGUGAGGGUUGUGUAUAUGUUAAAUGUCUGUCUCCAGAAUAUGCUGGAAAGGCUUUUAAAGCAUUGCAUGGCUCUUGGUUUGAUGGGAAAUUGGUUACAGUAAAAUAUUUACGACUAGAUAGAUACCACCAUCGCUUUCCCCAGGCUCUCACUUCCAACACUCCAUUGAAG